UGACACCAGGUUAGGUAGGAUUUCCUACUAAGUUCAAGCAUAUCAAUAAGUAAAGGAAAAGAAACUUUCUAAGAUUCCCUUAGUAAUGGUGAGCGAACUAGGAAAAGCCCAGUUUGAGAAUCGAGUGCCCUUGACAUCUAAAUUAUAGUAUGAAGAAGCAUCCUCAAUAGUGGACCAGGCCUAAGUCCCCUAGAAAGGGGCACCAAAGAGGGUGAGAGCCCCUUUGUGCCAAACCCUAUCACACCAUAAGGCACUAUCUAUGGGUCGGGUUGUUUGGGAAUACAACCUUAAUCGGGUGGUAAAUUCCAUCUAAGGCUAAAUACAAGUAAAAGACCAAUAGCAAAGAAGUACCACGAGGGAAAGAUGAAAAAGACUUUGAAAAGAUAGUUAAUGAGUGCUUGAAAUUGUCAGGAGGGUAGUGGAUGGGGCCAACAAUGUGCCCUAGUCAAAUAAGGAAUAGCGAGAGCUAGUCCAUCGAUCAAUUUGGGGUGUGCACUGAUAAGGGUUGCAACAGUGGCACAAGGUCAAGUUUUUGAUAUGCCCAUGGAGAUGUCAUCACCAUAAUAUGAAAUAUAGCAUGCACCAUUUUAGCAUGCCUCAGCACUGGUAUGCUCCUGACAUCAACUUGCAAGCUCCCGAUCUUGCCCAUCUUGAAAGAUGGACCAAAGAGUCUUGCAUGUGUGCAAGUUAAUGGGCUAGAAAACUCAUAUGGUGUAAGGAAUCUAAUUGGCAAGAUCCCUCAUGGGUGCACCGCCGAUCGACCUUAAUCUUUUGAGAAGGGUUUGAGUGUAAGCAUGCCUGUUAGGAUCCAAAAGAUGGUGAACUAUGCCUAAGUGGGGCAAAGCCAUAAGAAACCCUAGUGGAGGCCUACAGUCAUACUGACAUGCAAAUCAUUUACUAACUUUGGUAUAGGGGUGAAAGACUAAUCAAACAUCUAGUAGCUAGUUCCUUCUAAAGUUUCCCCCAGGAUAGCUAGAGCCCUUAGCAAGUUCUAUAGGGUAAAACCAAUGAUUAGAGGCAUCAAUUGUGCAAUGCCCUUGACCUAUUCUCAAACCUUAAAUAGGUAAAGUGAUAAGACUAUUUCAUUGAGCCAUGCCAUGGAAUUGAAAGCUCUAAGUGAGCCAUUUUUGGUAAGUAGAACUAACAAUGUAGGAUGAACAGGAAGUUAGGUUAUAGUGCCUAACUAUACGCUAACCUAGAACCACAAAGGGUGUUGGUCAAUUAAGACAAUAAAAUGGUGGUCAUGAAAGUCAAAAUCUACUAAGGAGUGUGUAACAACUCACUUGCCAAAUCAACUACUCUAAAAAAUAGAUAGCACUUAAAUGCAUGACCUAUACCCGACUGUUAGGGCAAGGGCCAAGCUUCGAUGAGUAGGAAGGUGUGGCAGUCAUUACAAAAACUAAGGCAUGAGCCCAGGCAAAGCAACCAUUGGCGCAGUUUUUAGUGGUAGUAGCAAAUAUUCAAAUAAGAACUUUGAAAGCCAAAGAGGGGAAAGAUUCCAUGUGAACGACACUUGCACAUAGGAUAGUUGAUCCUAAGAGGCGGGGGAAGCCCAUCUGAUAACACAUCCAACUCAAGCUUUUAAAAGGAAGUAGGUUAAAAUUCCUAAACCAGGAUGCGGUGAUUGAUGGCAAUGUUAAGGAGUUUGAAGACAUCGGUAGAGGCCUAAAAAAAGUUAUCUUUUCGAUUUAACAACCUGCAUACACUAGAAAUGGCUCAGCUUGAGGUAGGGUCUAGUGGUCAGAAGAGCAUUAUACGUCGCAUGGUGUCUGGUGCACCCCCAAUGGCCCUUAAAGAUUCGGAGGGCCAAGUGCCACCCACAUCUAGUCAUACUCACACCAUAUUAGGUCUCCAACGUGAAUAGCCUCUGGUUGAUGGAACAAUAUAGGCAUGAAAGUAGGCAAAAUGGAUCUAAAACCUUAAGAAAAGGAUUGACUCUGAGGGCUGGGGUGGUUGUCCUAGUCUCAAACCCGUCAACUGCCAUUCCACUGCUCAAGUUGCUUUUGUGGUGAGAAUGGUUCACCAUAUGCCAAUUGGGGGAUAGACUGGAAAUGGCUCCCUUUGGGGCCUUCCUUGGAUGAUGAACACUUGACUUGAAACUGGAACAAACAAGGAGAAUUUGACUAUUUAAACAAAGCACUGUAAUGGUCCCUAUAGAUGCUCACUAAUGUGAUUUCUACCUAGUGCUCUAAAUGUCAAAGUGAAAAGGUUCAACCAAGCAUGGAUAAAUGGCAAGAGUAAUUAUGACUCUCUCAAAGUAGCCAAAUGCCUCGUCAUCUAAUUAGUGACGCACAUGAAUGGAUUAACGAGAUUUCCACUAUCCCUAUCUACUAUCUAGUGAAACCAUAACCAAGGGAACGGGUUUGGCAAAUUAGUAGGGAAAAAAGACCUUGUUGAGCUUGACUCUAGUCUAACUUUGUGAAAUGAAUUGAGAGGUGUAUGAUAAAUGGGAGCCCUAGGAAGAAAUUGAAAUACCACUACUUUUAGCAUUAGUUUACUUGUUUCAUGAAUCAGAGGUAGGGCAUGACCCCUUCUUUUGGACCCAAGGCCGACCUUGGUUGGUUAAUCUGGGUGGAAGACAUUGUCAGGUGGGGAGUAUGGCUGGGUAGCACUUUUGUUAAAAGAUAACAAAGGUGUCCUAAGAUGAGCUCAAUGAGAAUAGGAAUCUCAUGGGGAAUAAAAAGGUAAAAGCUCAUUUGAUUCUGAUUUCUAGUACGAAUACAAACUGUGAAAGCAUGGCCAAUCAAUCUUUUAGACCUUUGGAAUUUAAAGCUAGAGGUGUCAAAAAAGUUACUAUAGCGAUAACUGGCUUAUGGUAGCCAAGCGUUCAUAGCAACAUUGCUUUGUGAUUCUUAGAUGUCGACUCUUCCUAUCAUUGUGAAACAAAAUUCACUAAGUGUUGAAUUGAUCACUCACCAAUUGGGAACAUGAGUUGGGUUUAGACCAUCAUGAGAUAGGUUAGUUUUACCCUACUAAUGGCAGUUUUGCAAUAGUAAUUCAACCUAGUGAGAGAGGAACCAUUGAUUUACACAAUUAGUCAUCAUGCUUGGUUAAAAAGCUAGUGGUGCAAAGCUACCAGGCAUUGGAUUAUGAUUGAAUACCUUUAAGUCAGAAUCUAUACUAGAAGCAACGUACGCCGCCAUUGCCCAAUUGUUGACCUAUAAGUAGGGGCCCAUGGCCCCCAAGGGCAUGUGCCACAAGUGCAGCCCCUAUGGCAGACAAGCCAUGUGAGCCUCCUUGGAGCUUAAGUCCCAUCGAG
This 3259-nucleotide ribosomal RNA is filed under the name Durio zibethinus. RNAcentral's name for it is "eukaryotic LSU rRNA". It matches the Rfam family "Eukaryotic large subunit ribosomal RNA". Lineage: Eukaryota; Viridiplantae; Streptophyta; Magnoliopsida; Malvales; Malvaceae. The record is from RNAcentral.